GUCGUGCUCUGAGCUCGGGCAGCUCGGCCGCUUGCAAGCGACGCUCCUCCCCGCUCUUUUGUAACUAAUAUUUGUUAAAACUGCUUAUUUUUCUAAGGCGGCAUCCCUGGCUGAUAAACCCCAGCAGGGUGAGGACCGGCUAUAAACCCCGUGGAUCCCUCUUGCUUUCACGGGUAAGAAACUCCGCGUUAAAUCCCGCUGCGCAGGCAGAGAGCAGAGGGCAAUCAAACCGAGCCGCAGCUCGGAUUCCCCGGGCCGCCGUGUUUUUCCUCUGACCCACACAAAGAUUUCUUUCUAAAUUUAUCGCGGCGUUCAUCGGCAGUCCCACUUAGUGGCAGAUUAGGAGGCUGGGCAGGCAAGGCCCAUUGAAAUGAGGGCAGGGGAGCCUGAAAUAUAAGCAAGCAGGGGAUGACGCAGGCAGCGAGGGGCAGGUGCAGCCCCGGCUCAGCUCCCACCAGCAUCCCCGCUCCGGAUUAUCCAUCCCCGGGGCUGCGAUGGGAAUGCUGCACCCAGAUGGCAGCGUCCCAGCUCCCGGCCGGGUCCAGGGAGGUCGGCCAGUCUCCGGAGGCCCCGGUGCUGGCACCAGCGGGGAAUUUCCACUGGGUUUGUGGAAGGAGCUGCCGGCAAGGGGCGAAGCGGCGUUUGGGUGUUUGUGCAGCGUCCCCGUGCAUCCCUUGUAAACGUGGGCUGUGAAGGAAGAACCAGCUCGCAAUAAGAGCUUAUAUCAGAGGUUCUAUCCCUGGAAACAGACGCAGAGAUAGGACUAGAGUAAUUCACCGAGAAUAACCUGAAGGACAGGCCAGCUUGGCCUGUUUGUUUCUUUGCUCUGCUACUGACGCAUUGUAUAACCUUGGGUAAAUCACAUAACCUACGCGUGACUCGGAUUCCUUGUUAUAAUAUGAUUUCAUAAUGGGAAUAAUAAGAUUCCAUACCUGCACAUCAUACCCACACCAUCCUCCUGGAUCCGGCAGCCUUCACCACCACCAGGUCUGAGUCUGUGGGACCACAGACCUGACUUUGUGCCCCAUGGACCCCCAUGCUGAGGACACGGACCAGUGUGACUCAUGGGUGCUGAGUGAUGGUAGCCACGCUCUUCACAGAGAUGAAGCCCCACACGUCGCGUUUGGAAUCACGCAGGGAAAUUAUGCAGUUACAAGGAUGGCAUAAUUGAGAGAAUGCUUGACUAGCGCAAUUUUCUUAUGUGCCUGUCAGCAAAUCACUUAAUCUGUGCUGUGCCAAGUUUCCCAUCCAUUAAAUGGGGAAUGAUUAUCCCCCUACAUCCUAAGAGGGAGGGAGAAUAACACCCGCUAAUGAUGGUGGAGGUACUGGAAGGUGGUCACAGAGAUGCUCAGUGACACAGAUAGCGGCUGCAGACCUGGAAGGAACACGUAGCAUUUAAAACCCAACCUUUAGACAUUAAUUUCUCCUCCUGCUGCUUUUUCUUUUUUAAACUGAAGAAAAUUCCACAAUAGAUCUGCCUCUCCUGCGCAGGAUUUUAAAACGAUUCCUCAGCCAUUCCCCAGCUCGGGACAUCGCAGGUGUGAUGGGAAUGAGGAGGAAAACGCCGUGAUGCGCUGGGAGAAGGUACCUUGGGGGGCCCGGAGCGAUUCCAUCACCCCCCCCACCUUGGUGACACUCGCGGCUUCCUGGGACUUGUAGGCAGCGUGGGGUGACCUUGGCUGCAGGGGGGGCCACGGAGCCCCCGGAGCUGCGCGGGUGCUGAGCCCCAGGCAGGUACCAGGAUCCCUCUCCCCACCGAGGUGAUGGCACCAGCGACCCUGAAGAGAAGCUGCCAAACUAAUGCAUGCUGCAAUUAAGUUAUAAAAGACGUACCCAUCAUUAACCAAUGCUUUCCGAACACCUGCAAAACAAGGGGAUAUUGUUCAAGUUUUAGAUCCUUCUUCAUGACAAGAGACAGAAGAUCAAGCGAUGCAUUGUUUAGAAGCAGAGUGCUUAGUUUAUAUUUAACUAAUAAUUAAUAGAUGUAUUGUAAGUAAGUAAACAAGUAUUAACAUCCUCAAUUAUUUCUUAGUAUAGAUGUAUGUAAAAUUUUUCAAAAAUUGUAACGCAUAUUUAAUAAUUAUAUGAAUAUAAGCAACACAAGAGCAUCCAGUCACUGGAGCGCUUAUGGAGGGUGAUCCCCAGUGUUCCCCAGUGCUGAUAAAAUAAGGAACGCCGCUUAACAGUCUAAUUAACUCCGCUGUUAUUUCUUCUUUUCACCUCGAGCAUCCCUUCUGCUGCAGCGGGAUGCAGGGUGUGCUUGUGUCCCAUCUGCCCCAAAACACCUUCUAGGCCACCGAGGAGCCGGUGGCAUCGCCAGGACCCGCUUUGCCUUCUCCCCACCUCCUACUCGGCCAGAAUGGCGUUAGAAACGGGGAUCCUGCAAACACCACCUCACUUUUGGGUUGGUUCUUUUCACCGUGCACGUGCAGUGGGACUGUAGGUUGGGCUGUGACGAGCAGGGUGUUACUACCACGGGGUGACAGACACCUCUGCGAGAUAAUGCGGGUUGCCAUGGUUACCGAUGGAAAAUAGGGCUACGGGUUAACUCAGGCCAGCAGCGCAUGAAGCAAAAACACCCCACGGCGUUUUGUGCACACCUGAGACACCGAAAGGCACAUCGGUGGCCACUGCAAACCCCCAAGUCACCACCCAGCCCCGAGCUGGUAGGUUAAACUUUCCAAGACUCCCCCAAACAAAAUCGUUGAGUUCAACAGGGAUGGGAUUGGGGCUCAGGGGGAAUCAACCUCCUGCAAGGCUCUGUUAUUUAUUACUUAUUGGUGCACCCCAAGCCUUACGGCCUUAUGCAAGCUCUGAUUUUUUGGAGCCUUCACACUCUGAGUAUUUAAGAUGAAUUCUCUCCAAGAGAAUUCUCUGAAGAGCGGAGACUCGUGUCCAGUGCACUCAAUGGGCAAAUAAACUGUGUUCUCUUAAUAAUAUGGGUGAUCUUUGGGGUGCUGUUCAAAAUAUGUAUUUAAAGAAGUCUGUACCUUCUUCACAAUAUGUUCUUAUUGCCUUUUUUUUUUUGAGGGAAGGAUAGUAUUAGAAGCCGGUUUAGAGGCUUAAAACCAAUCCUUGCCUUAGGCCGGCUCAGAGCUAAUCCUCAGCUCUCCUUUCCCCUUUAAAGGAGUAAAGUAAAGUGAUACAAGCAUGGACAGGCUGAGGAGGAGCUGGGUUAUGGGUAGUUUUUUUAAAGGAAAAUAGUUGGCAGGAACACGAGCAAAGCUGAAAGUAUUUUCAUCUGUUUUGUUUUGUAAUGUUCAAUGUUUUGUUUUCUGCUUUAGGAAUUACACAAAGGAAUCGCUCAAAGGAAAGGUCUCCCAUUCUAAUCUCAUCUAAUGUGACUAAGCAGAAUUGGCCAAGUGAGGAAAAAAGCCCAAAUAACAUCAAAAAUGACAAUAUCUAGUUUUUCUUAGGGGAAAAAAAAGAUGGAAAAGCUCAACCUUUAACGGAGAUUUGUUUGCAAAAUUAUUCCAUGCUGGGAAGAGUAAUCAACUUGUGCAUAAAGGUGUUUUUUUGAGAUUAAUUUCUAUUUUGUUAAUCGCUUGGAUUUUAGAAACUUACUAGCGGGUUUCAAAUUGUUAUUGCUAUAUAAGUGCAAAAUACUUGUAAACUGUUAUGUGCAUAUGUUUUAUGGGAAAGAACUGACCAAGAAGACACCAUUUAAAAAGCAAUAAUCUUGGCAGUUUGAGGAGAAAAAAGCUGGGAAAGGAGCCUCUGCUCGCUCCCUCUUUUUUACAAGCAUUUUUAAAAGAUAAUAGCUUAUAAUGACUUAUUUUUAGAACUGUCUAGAAGCCUCAGCUGAGACCCAGAGGGCAGCAAAGACAGUUUAUCCCCGGCCAAAACAAUUUACAAUCCCAGUUUCAAGGCUGAGACAAGAGGCAGAAAUAAACCUCAGCCGGUACCUGCAGGAACCACAAAAUAUGUCGGGUUAUUCAGCCGAGCUGAUGAAAACACUCCAAAAAUGAUCAUUUUCGGUAAUAAAAAAGCAUUUCAUUUCCCUUCGGUACCUUUGCGGCAUCAGGUUUUGGUGCUCGGGAGCAUCUCGGCAGGCGAUGCUGAAGCUGGAGCUGCGUCUGGCGGCUCCGGCACCCGUGGGUGCUGCAGCGGGGGCGGCAGCGGGGACCGAGGCGAUGGGAUGAAUCACAGCACGUUUCCCCAUCCCUCGCUCCGUUUCUAAAAGCAGCGGCUGCAGACAGACGCAUUCACCGUGAUUUGCCCCCGUCUCCAUCGCUUUGUGCUGCCGCACAUGGGCAGCAUCGCUGGGGGUGCAUCCAUAAACCAGAUGAGGUUAAAUUGUACCAUAAUAAUGCUUAGAAAGCUGCUUAAGAAUACCUAUUUUUUUCCCCUGUUGUUUUGUUUGCCAAUUGUCGUAUUGUUGGUGAACUUUUAAUGGGAGAUUUUUCUUCUAUCCAGGGUAUAACUUGGGCAGUUGGAAGGUGACAGCAGGACAGACAAUCCAGGACUGCGGGACAGCCAGAAACUGGGAUAUGGGACGCUGGUUUCUGCGGAGAUCAAAGCAGGGACGUCAGCCCAAAGGUCCUGCUCUUUGUCGUUCCCAUGUCCCAAUGCUCACCUGGACUUACUAUUUCCUUAAACAUCCGAGCAGACUCAAGUCGGACACUUUAACUGCGAUUCUCGCUGUUGCCCCUGGACUUGCAGGAGAGUUUUUCCCCAGUUACGUAAAUCCAAGAUAUUGCAGGAGUGUUUGAUGAAUUUUGUCCUUUGUUUUACCGGCUAGAAGGUCUCUCCAUCGCUGGUUUUCACAGCCUGAGAUACAGCUGGAGCAGAGGGGCCCUCGUGCUUCCCUACUCAUUGCUGCUACAGAAACACAAACAGAAAACAUGGCAUUAACUCCUGCUUUCUGCCAAAUAUCAUUAUAGCCAACGUGAUGCAUUUUUCUGGCUAAAUUGGUAAUGAAUAUACAUCUUUUAGGGUGGGAAAAGAGUUGUUUUUAUAGGCUUUACAAGAGAAAUAAACUUGCCAUAGUUUGAAAGCAAAGGCUUAAAUAUGUUUAUUUCAUGCUAAACAUCUUGUAGUUCUGCUUAUGAGAUAGUAAGUCUCUGUAUGGAUGUUGUCUGGGCGGAAAUAAAUAGGGAUUAAUGGCAGUUCCUGUGGAUGUGCUGGCGGUUCAAGGAGCCUGUGGGAAGUGAAGAUGGUUAAA
Columba livia (rock pigeon) is the source of this 5164-nucleotide long non-coding RNA. RefSeq lists it as uncharacterized. The transcript is spliced from 3 exons. Lineage: Eukaryota; Metazoa; Chordata; Aves; Columbiformes; Columbidae. The record is from RefSeq and is a predicted model, not a curated record.